GGGGAUGAUCGGUUUCGACAGCGGCUGUCGAAGCAGGGGAAGCGUGUCGAGGAAGCGGCAAUGAUCUCGUAAACCAUAUGUCGCAAAAAAUAAUCGCCAACACCAAGAGCGAUUCCCAGUCCUACGCCCUCGCUGCCUAAUUAGGUAGUGAGUGUAGGACCCUUAAUGGGUGUCAGCCCGGGAGUGUUCCCGGCCCGGAUCCUGGCAUAAUCUAGGGGACUAAACCAUCGAGCCCGGUCACGGGGCCCGAUGGGAAAUCACACAGUGACUGGGCCCGUCGGCGACUUGUUCGCGUGAUCGCCGGGGCCGAGAAAAUCGCAGCGAACUGCACACGGAGAAGCCCUGAUUCUGCACCGUUGGACGCGGGUUCGAUUCCCGCCAUCUCCACUC
Non-coding RNA from Streptomyces sp. Amel2xC10, 390 nucleotides. It matches the Rfam family "transfer-messenger RNA". Rfam says of the family: Bacterial tmRNA, also known as 10Sa RNA or SsrA, is named for its dual tRNA and mRNA-like properties. Its role is to liberate the mRNA from a stalled ribosome. The record is from Rfam. NCBI's taxonomy places the organism in Bacteria, Bacillati, Actinomycetota, Actinomycetes, Kitasatosporales, Streptomycetaceae.